Salvelinus fontinalis (brook trout) is the source of this 196-nucleotide long non-coding RNA. RefSeq lists it as uncharacterized. NCBI's taxonomy places the organism in Eukaryota, Metazoa, Chordata, Actinopteri, Salmoniformes, Salmonidae. The record is from RefSeq and is a predicted model, not a curated record. The transcript is spliced from 4 exons.
ACCUUCUACCAUACUCUGGGAGAGAGAGGCCAUAACCAUCAAGAUAAGACCACACAAGAAGGCUCACUGCAGACAGGUGUCCAGGGUGACCAACAUCUAAGUUCAUCACAAACAGAUAUUUGAGAGGACAGAAAUCUAACCAGUCACAUCAAAGGCCAUUGAAACCAGUUGUCAGAGUUGAUGCCAUGGGGUUCCA